GUUGUAUGGUUAAGUGACUAAGCGUACAGGGCGGAUGCCUUGGCAAUCAGAGGCGAUGAAGGACGUGCUAAUCUGCGAAAAGCUUGGAUGAGUCGAUAAGAGGCGUUUAAUCCAAGAUGUCCGAAUGGGGAAACCCAGUAGAUGAAGAAUCUACUAUCAAUAAAUGAAUACAUAGUUUAUUGAGGCGAACCGGGAGAACUGAAACAUCUAAGUACCCCGAGGAAAAGAAAUCAACCGAGAUUCUGUGAGUAGCGGCGAGCGAAAGCGGAAGAGCCAGUAAGUUUUAGCUAGCAUAUUAGAGGAAUUGGCUGGGAAGCCAAAUCAAAGAGGGUGAUAAUCCCGUACUCGAAAGUAUGGUAGUAGAACUAAGCUUACGAUAAGUAAGGCGGGACACGAGAAAUCCUGUUUGAAGAUGGGGGGACCAUCCUCCAAGGCUAAAUACUCCUGAUUGACCGAUAGUGAACCAGUACUGUGAAGGAAAGGCGAAAAGAACCCCGGUGAGGGGAGUGAAAUAGAACCUGAAACCCUGUACGUACAAGCAGUAGGAGCGAGGGCAACCUUGUGACUGCGUACCUUUUGUAUAAUGGGUCAGCGACUUAUAUUUUGUAGCGAGGUUAACUGAAUAAGGGAGCCGAAGGGAAACCGAGUCUUAACUGGGCGUUGAGUUGCAAGGUAUAGACCCGAAACCCGGUGAUCUAGCCAUGGGCAGGUUGAAGGUUGGGUAACACUAACUGGAGGACCGAACCGACUAAUGUUGAAAAAUUAGCGGAUGACUUGUGGCUGGGGGUGAAAGGCCAAUCAAACCGGGAGAUAGCUGGUUCUCCCCGAAAUCUAUUUAGGUAGAGCCUUGAGCGGACACCUUCGGGGGUAGAGCACUGUUUCGGCUAGGGGUCCAUCCCGGAUUACCAACCCGAUGCAAACUGCGAAUACCGAAGAGUGAUACUCAGGAGACACACGGCGGGUGCUAACGUUCGUCGUGGAGAGGGAAACAACCCAGACCGCCAGCUAAGGUCCCGAAGUCUAUAUUAAGUGGGAAACGAAGUGGGAAGGCUUAGACAGCUAGGAUGUUGGCUUAGAAGCAGCCAUCAUUUAAAGAAAGCGUAAUAGCUCACUAGUCGAGUCGGCCUGCGCGGAAGAUGUAACGGGGCUCAAAUAUAGCACCGAAGCUGCGGCAUCAGAAUUUAUUCUGUUGGGUAGGGGAGCGUUGUGUAAGCGGAUGAAGGUGGCUCGAGAGGGUUGCUGGACGUAUCACAAGUGCGAAUGCUGACAUAAGUAACGAUAAAACGAGUGAAAAACUCGUUCGCCGGAAGACCAAGGGUUCCUGUCCAACGUUAAUCGGGGCAGGGUGAGUCGGCCCCUAAGGCGAGGCUGAAAAGCGUAGUCGAUGGGAAACGGGUUAAUAUUCCCGUACUUGGUAAAGCUGCGAUGUGGGGACGGAGAAGGUUAGGUAAGCGGACUGUUGGAUAUGUUCGUUUAAGCAGGUAGUUGGAAAGGGUAGGCAAAUCCGCUCUUUCAUACAACAACGAGACGUGAUGACGAGGCUCUACGGAGCUGAAGUUACCGAUACCCAGCUUCCAGGAAAAGCCACUAAGCGAAAGGCUUUACUAAACCGUACUGAAAACCGACACAGGUGGUCAGGUAGAGAAUACUCAGGCGCUUGAGAGAACUCGGGUGAAGGAACUAGGCAAAAUAGCACCGUAACUUCGGGAGAAGGUGCGCUUACAGUAAUUGUAGUCCCUUGCGGAUGAAGGUGAAGUAAGUCGAAGAUACCAGCUGGCUGCAACUGUUUAUUAAAAACACAGCACUCUGCAAACACGAAAGUGGACGUAUAGGGUGUGAUGCCUGCCCGGUGCUGGAAGGUUAAUUGAUGGUGUUAUCGAAAGAGAAGCUCCUGAUCGAAGCCCCAGUAAACGGCGGCCGUAACUAUAACGGUCCUAAGGUAGCGAAAUUCCUUGUCGGGUAAGUUCCGACCUGCACGAAUGGCAUAAUGAUGGCCAGGCUGUCUCCACCCGAGACUCAGUGAAAUUGAAAUCGCCGUGAAGAUGCGGUGUACCCGCGGCUAGACGGAAAGACCCCGUGAACCUUUACUAUAGCUUGACACUGAACAUUGAAUUUUGAUGUGUAGGAUAGGUGGGAGCCUUUGAAGCAGUGACGCCAGUCAUUGUGGAGGCGAC
This 2174-nucleotide ribosomal RNA is filed under the name Pasteurella multocida subsp. multocida. RNAcentral's name for it is "partial 23S ribosomal RNA". It matches the Rfam family "Bacterial large subunit ribosomal RNA", at positions 1 to 2190 of the family's 2925-position model. Lineage: Bacteria; Pseudomonadati; Pseudomonadota; Gammaproteobacteria; Pasteurellales; Pasteurellaceae. The record is from RNAcentral.